CCUACGGGUGGCAGCAGUGAGGAAUAUUGGUCAAUGGACGCAAGUCUGAACCAGCCAAGUAGCGUGCAGGAUGACGGCCCUCCGGGUUGUAAACUGCUCUUAGUUGGGAAUAAAAGGGGGCUCGUGAGCCCCGUAUUGUAUGUACCAUCAGAAAAAGGACCGGCUAAUUCCGUGCCAGCAGCCGCGGUAAUACGGAAGGUCCGGGCGUUAUCCGGAUUUAUUGGGUUUAAAGGGAGCGUAGGCCGGCUUUUAAGUCAGCUGUGAAAGUCCGCGGCUCAACCUCGGUGCUACUACCAAAACUGUUGAACUUGAGUGCAGGAGGGGUGAAUGGAAUUCCCAGUGUAGCGGUGGAAUGCGUAGAUAUUGGGAAGAACACCAGCGGCGAAGGCGAUUCACUGGACUGUAACUGACACUGAGGCACGAAAGCGUGGGGAGCAAACAGGAUUAGAUACCCGGGUAGUC
RNAcentral lists this ribosomal RNA (462 nucleotides) under uncultured bacterium. Its description in RNAcentral is "partial 16S ribosomal RNA". It matches the Rfam family "Bacterial small subunit ribosomal RNA", at positions 338 to 795 of the family's 1533-position model. The record is from RNAcentral.